CCCUUAGAUGUUCGGGGCCGCACGCGCGCUACACUGAAGGAAUCAGCACGUCUUUCUCCUUGUCCGAAAGGACUGGGUAACCCGCUGAACCUCCUUCGUGCUAGGGAUUGGGGCUUGUAAUUCUUCCCCAUGAACGAGGAAUUCCCAGUAAGCGCGAGUCAUAAGCUCGCGUUGAUUACGUCCCUGCCCUUUGUACACACCGCCCGUCGCUACUACCGAUUGGAUGGUUUAGUGAGAUCCUCGGAUUGGUCCCGGCGCGGCCUCUGGUCGUGCCGGAGUGCCGAAAAGAAUGUCGAACUUGAUCAUCUAGAGGAAGCAAAAGUCGUAACA
RNAcentral lists this ribosomal RNA (330 nucleotides) under uncultured eukaryote. RNAcentral's name for it is "partial 18S ribosomal RNA". It matches the Rfam family "Eukaryotic small subunit ribosomal RNA", at positions 1470 to 1796 of the family's 1831-position model. The record is from RNAcentral.